UGGUCAAGAUGAGUAAAUGAAUAAAUUUAGGAAACUAUAAAAAGAGGGAGUGUAUUGCUGUAAUUUCCAUUCCUCAUUUUGCUGUGCCCCAGUUGAAUUUUACUCCAAAUAUUUUUGACUUUUGCUGAUCAGGCCAUGGAUUACCUUUCCUGUGAACCUCUGUGCUCACGUGGUCCAAUCGAUGCAGAACUGCUCUCUGCAACAGUACCUAACUUAACACAAACAUCCUUUUCACACUAUGAACCUGAAAUCUGGAAGUUUUUCCCAUUGUAUGGUCAUGAUAGAAAUCUGACACUCUGGUAGACAUUGUAUCUCACGCUUUAGCUAAUCUCAGUUUCAUGAAGUUAACCAUGUAUACUGAUUUUGUUCUAGCUGUGGAAAGUGCCAUGCAUCCACUUAAACUGGGGGACCUAAGACUGCUUUCCAGAACAAAGUUAACCAGGCCUGGCUGCAUCCUGACUGUGUUGAAAUCAGACCCAGGCACAUCACUCUGGCCUAGCUGCCACUGGCAAGAAAGCCUCAGGCAGAUGAGGAGGAGCUCCAGCAGAUCUCUUGUUUUGGAUGACUGGUAGCCACAACUGUAACAUGCAUUUUGGAGCACACUGUCCUGCAAUUUAGGCACAAAUACUAAGUGCCAAAUAGAAUUUUGAAUCAAUCCUCUGCCAAUUAAGAGUAAGAUUAAGUUCAAAAAUGAGUGCUAUCAAACAUAUUACACUUUGGAAGAAAGACAAUUUUCCAUAGUGGAAGUAAGACUACACUGCUGUCUAUUACCAACUUUAUUUUUAGAUGUCCAGACUGAAUUUAAUUGAAGCUAUCUAAGCUCUCAAAGCAAAGAAAUCAGAGGAGGUUUUUUUAUAGAUUCAUACACAAAAGUACAAUUGCUCCCCUGGAGCAGUUUUUUUUUUAAUUUUUUUCAUCUUUAGGCUUACCCAGCUCUUUAAAUCAUUCCAGGCUGGUUUCUCUUCAAUUGUUACUCAUUUUGAUGUUGCCUCUGAACUGAACACUGGAUUCUGGUGAUCAUCAGCAUGGAGUGCUAUUGUUAUACACUUGGACAGAGACUGGACUUCCUGCUGGAAGAAUGGCCAUGACAGUUACGCAUGCUGAUCCAAAACAUAUUCACAGGUACAUACGACACACAAUAGCUCAAGAAAAAAAAAAAAAAGACCUCUUUAGGUACAUAAAGAAGUGAUGUCUAAACAAUUAGCAUGUCACAAAAGAGGCCAGCUAUUUAAAUGAUUACAUUAUACAGGGAACAAAUAGGAGUAUCUCUUCUGCAUACAAGGACUUUUCAUUUACAGCUUUAGCAUUACUUUUUUUUAUGCUGCUUUGGCCACUUAAACAGCUGCUUUUUUUCCUUUUUUUUUUUUUUUUUUUUAAAGUUGACUACAUUUUAUACUCUCCACAGCUUUUAUAUGGUUGUAUAAUGCUUUUUCUUUUUAAUUUAUUUUGUUACCUAUGUGGGUAAAAUUAAUAGUGAAUGCUGACUUAUUUCAUAAACUUUAUUAAGCCUUUGGGGAAACUUCAGUGUGCUCAUAUGGAGAGGCAAUAUAGAGUGUAUCCACUGUAUCAUGACACAGAAAUUACAAUUCUAAGCUAGAAAUAAAUGACAUUCCAGAAAAAGCAGAAGGAACAACAUUUAAGGAGUUAAUAAUGAACCACUUGUCUUCAUUUUCAGAUCCUUUAAUCCUGCUAUUGUGCAGUUUUCACACAGUGCUAAAUUGAAUUACUGCAUCAUUUUUUACAAUUUCUUCAUACAGUUGACCCAGUUUAUAGCAGGUUUGAAAGCAUUAUCAUUGCUUAAGGUUGAAAGAUGCUGCAGUGUAUUGCAUUAAAAGUCAAUCAGCGCAGAAGUAUUUUGAUGUAAUUUUGCUUUUGGAUAUAGAAGAACAGAUACCCAAAUGAAGGAUGGUAUUUCAUUUUGUCAUAACACUGUCACAUAAUACAGCAUGCCUUUUUUAUACAAUAUGUAUAGUCUCAUUUUAUUAUAUUUCUUUCUCUAUGUUUCUGGUUCUAAUAAAGUGAAUCCUCAGUUUA
Molecule: long non-coding RNA, 2034 nt
Organism: Aquila chrysaetos chrysaetos
Lineage: Eukaryota; Metazoa; Chordata; Aves; Accipitriformes; Accipitridae
Exons: 2
Source: RefSeq, a predicted model, not a curated record